This 116-nucleotide small nuclear RNA is filed under the name Esox lucius (northern pike). RNAcentral's name for it is "U5 spliceosomal RNA". It matches the Rfam family "U5 spliceosomal RNA". From Rfam's summary of the family: U5 RNA is a component of both types of known spliceosome. Lineage: Eukaryota; Metazoa; Chordata; Actinopteri; Esociformes; Esocidae. The record is from Rfam by way of RNAcentral.
CAACUCUGGUUUCUCUUCAAUCACGCACAAGUUUUUCGCCUUUUACUAAAGACUUCCGUGGAGAGCAACGCUUACGAGUUCACGUAUUUUGGACGGGCUUUGCUCCCGGCAGAGCC